GACGAACGCUGGCGGCGUGCUUAACACAUGCAAGUCGAACGGAAAGGCCCUGCUUUUGUGGGGUGCUCGAGUGGCGAACGGGUGAGUAACACGUGAGUAACCUGCCCUUGACUUUGGGAUAACUUCACGAAACUGGGGCUAAUACCGGAUAGGAGCUCCUGCUGCAUGGUGGGGGUUGGAAAGUUUCGGCGGUUGGGGAUGGACUCGCGGCGUAUCAGCUUGUUGGUGGGGUAGUGGCUUACCAAGGCUUUGACGGGUACCCGGCCUGAGAGGGUGACCGGCCACCUUGGGACUGAGAUACGGCCCAGACUCCUACGGGAGGCAGCAGUGGGGAAUAUUGCACAAUGGGCGGAAGCCUGAUGCAGCAACGCCGCGUGCGGGAUGACGGCCUUCGGGUUGUAAACCGCUUUCGCCUGUGACGAAGCGUGAGUGACGGUAAUGGGUAAAGAAGCACCGGCUAACUACGUG
Molecule: ribosomal RNA, 468 nt
Filed under: uncultured bacterium
Lineage: Bacteria
Description: partial 16S ribosomal RNA
Rfam family: Bacterial small subunit ribosomal RNA
Source: RNAcentral